CAGGGCCUUGCCACGUGCCAUGAAUCCUUUUUCCCCUUUGAUAUUGCAUCUGCUCAUUGCCCCUGUCCAGAAUGUCUACUAGAAGUUCAUGGAAACACUUCCUCUUGGACUGCUCUAUGACAGUUUGAAAUCCCAGGCUCCUGAUGGCAUGUGGCUGAAGUACAAGGCUCCUGCAGAGGUUGCAGAAGCUCCUUGGACACAACUGAGUUAAGCAGAGUGAAGAGUGCACAAACCAUGGCAUGCUGCAUUUUGGAGGACAUAAUCCUGGAGGCUCCUAAAUGGCAGAAGAACAUUUAUAUUCCAAACUACAGGUGGCAAGCCAGCCCUGUAGGCUAUAGAGUAGCAGUUCUUAAACUUUAGUAACUGGAGGACCCCCAUUUUGAUUUGAUAUUUUUCACAGACCCCCCCCCAAGCUGGCUUCUUAUUUUCCCCAGGGGUGCUCAACCCCCACUCUAUCCCCUUCCCUAAGGCCUCACCCCCACCCCACCUCUUCCCAUUCCCGCUCCACCCCAGCCCCUCCUUUUCCCCGCCUCUUUCUGCCCCCUCUACUGAGCACGCCCUGUACCUGCGCCUCCUGCAGGCCGCUGAACAACUGUUCCGCAGUGUGCUGGAGGCGCUAGGAGGGAGGGGAGUAGUUGAUCAGCAGGACUGGCGGUCCCAGACAUGACUCAUGGACCCCCUAGUUUACCCUCACAGACCCCCAGGGGUACACAGAUCCCAGUUUGAGAACUACUGAGAAUUUCAAGCUCAUGGUGACUGAGCAACACAUCAGCCCACUCCAUUGUACAGAUUGUUGUACAGAGCAGGGCCUAGAAGACCUGCCCUGAAAUAGGACUACUUAUGUCGGGGGGGGGGGGGUGUUAAAAUUCAUGGUGGAAUCAACAGGCUGCUGCAUUAAUAAUCGAUGUGAACACUGCCUCCCUACAGCUUACCAUAGAGCCUGCUCUGACUGUAUGCAAAUACACACAAUGAUAUGGAGUCUCAAAGAACUGCAUGGCCAGUCUCCCUCCCCCUAUUUCUGGACUGCAUACAAACCCCAAGCUGUAUUUCAGACACUGUACUAUGUUUCACCCUCCUUCCAGCCCCCAUACAGUUUACUGUUUACAGGCAGCUUGAUACACUAUGGCAUGAUCAAUUUGUAUGGUGUGGUAUACUAAAAGGAAAGGCAAUAUACCUUUA
Mauremys reevesii (Reeves's turtle) is the source of this 1179-nucleotide long non-coding RNA. RefSeq lists it as uncharacterized. The record is from RefSeq and is a predicted model, not a curated record. The transcript has 3 exons. Lineage: Eukaryota; Metazoa; Chordata; Testudines; Geoemydidae.